GGUGUGGCAAUAUUUUGGGAUUAUAGAUCCGGAUCCUAAUCAAACCAAACUCAGACUCAAAUUUUUUGGAUUGGGGCUGGAUUAUAUAUAGACCCAACCCGAUCCGAAUGACCGAUUAGAGCAAAAUUUUUAUCCAUAGAGCUGAGUAAAUCUGAUCCAAUCUUCUAUUUGGAUUGAGUUUGGGUUUAAUAUUAAAACUUGAUCAAGG
This 208-nucleotide long non-coding RNA is filed under the name Elaeis guineensis (African oil palm). RNAcentral describes it as "long non-coding RNA (EGUI_LNC008760)". Lineage: Eukaryota; Viridiplantae; Streptophyta; Magnoliopsida; Arecales; Arecaceae. The record is from RNAcentral.